UACGGAGGAUGCAAGCGUUAUCCGGAAUUAUUGGGCGUAAAGCGUCCGCAGGUGGCUGUGUAAGUCUGCUGUCAAAGAGCAAAGCUCAACUUUGUAAAGGCAGUGGAAACUACACGGCUAGAGUGCGUUCGGGGCAGAGGGAAUUCCUGGUGUAGCGGUGAAAUGCGUAGAGAUCAGGAAGAACACCGGUGGCGAAGGCGCUCUGCUAGGCCGCAACUGACACUGAGGGACGAAAGCUAGGGGAGCGAAUGGG
Molecule: ribosomal RNA, 253 nt
Filed under: uncultured bacterium
Lineage: Bacteria
Description: partial 16S ribosomal RNA
Rfam family: Bacterial small subunit ribosomal RNA
Source: RNAcentral